AUUGAACGCUGGCGGGAUGCUUUACACAUGCAAGUCGGACGGCAGCACGGACUUCGGUCUGGUGGCGAGUGGCGAACGGGUGAGUAAUGUAUCGGAACGUGCCCAGUAGCGGGGGAUAACUACGCGAAAGCGUGGCUAAUACCGCAUACGCCCUACGGGGGAAAGCGGGGGACCUUCGGGCCUCGCACUAUUGGAGCGGCCGAUAUCGGAUUAGCUAGUUGGUGGGGUAACGGCUCACCAAGGCGACGAUCCGUAGCUGGUUUGAGAGGACGACCAGCCACACUGGGACUGAGACACGGCCCAGACUCCUACGGGAGGCAGCAGUGGGGAAUUUUGGACAAUGGGGGCAACCCUGAUCCAGCCAUCCCGCGUGUGCGAUGAAGGCCUUCGGGUUGUAAAGCACUUUUGGCAGGAAAGAAACGGCGCCAGCUAAUACCUGGCGCUAAUGACGGUACCUGCAGAAUAAGCACCGGCUAACUACGUGCCAGCAGCCGCGGUAAUACGUAGGGUGCAAGCGUUAAUCGGAAUUACUGGGCGUAAAGCGUGCGCAGGCGGUUCGGAAAGAAAGAUGUGAAAUCCCAGAGCUUAACUUUGGAACUGCAUUUUUAACUACCGGGCUAGAGUGUGUCAGAGGGAGGUGGAAUUCCGCGUGUAGCAGUGAAAUGCGUAGAUAUGCGGAGGAACACCGAUGGCGAAGGCAGCCUCCUGGGAUAACACUGACGCUCAUGCACGAAAGCGUGGGGAGCAAACAGG
Molecule: ribosomal RNA, 753 nt
Filed under: uncultured Achromobacter sp.
Lineage: Bacteria; Pseudomonadati; Pseudomonadota; Betaproteobacteria; Burkholderiales; Alcaligenaceae
Description: bacterial SSU rRNA
Rfam family: Bacterial small subunit ribosomal RNA
Source: RNAcentral